AAGUCGUAACAAGGUUUUCGUAGGUGAACCUGCGUAAGGAUCAUUAUCGAUGAUUGCAUGCCAUGGGUGGCAAAGAAGUGAAAGUCCUGGCGACCAUGGCUCAUGGAUGGCGUCAGGCGGCUUGCAUGGCUAUGCGAAGCGACGACGACGCCGGCGCUCGGGUGUAGCGGCGUGGUGGCGCAGUGGCCACGUCGUGGAGCGCCAGAAGGCGUCCUCUGUGUCCGGCUUUUAAGUUAGAGAAGGGUGCCCGUUUGAAGGCAGUGCUGCGCGCUGGAGGCACUGCUGGGCCGUAAGGUCGGC
The sequence is an unclassified non-coding RNA, 300 nucleotides long. The stretch from base 1 to 46 matches the Rfam family "Eukaryotic small subunit ribosomal RNA", at positions 1786 to 1831 of the family's 1831-position model.